GUGGGGAAUAUUGGACAAUGGGCGAAAGCCUGAUCCAGCCAUGCCGCGUGUGUGAAGAAGGUCUUCGGAUUGUAAAGCACUUUAAGUUGGGAGGAAGGGCAGUAAGUUAAUACCUUGCUGUUUUGACGUUACCGACAGAAUAAGCACCGGCUAACUUCGUGCCAGCAGCCGCGGUAAUACGAAGGGUGCAAGCGUUAAUCGGAAUUACUGGGCGUAAAGCGCGCGUAGGUGGUUUUGUAAGUUGGAGGUGAAAUCCCCGGGCUCAACCUGGGAACUGCCUCCAAAACUGCAUGACUAGAGGACGGUAGAGGGUAGUGGAAUUUCCUGUGUAGCGGUGAAAUGCGUAGAUAUAGGAAGGAACACCAGUGGCGAAGGCGACUACCUGGACUGAUACUGACACUGAGGUGCGAAAGCGUGGGGAGCAAACAGGAUUAGAUACCCGGGUAGUCC
This 450-nucleotide ribosomal RNA is filed under the name uncultured bacterium. RNAcentral's name for it is "bacterial SSU rRNA". It matches the Rfam family "Bacterial small subunit ribosomal RNA", at positions 354 to 796 of the family's 1533-position model. The record is from RNAcentral.